AGUUAUUUUAGUAAUGGUUCCAUCUUGGAAAUCGCUGAUUGAAUUAUGUGUGGUAGUUUCUCCACACUCUGCUUUUUAAAAAAGAAACAGAUUGAGAGGUAGACAGAUGACGUUACACACAGUAAGCAUAGAAAAGCUAAAAGUAAAGUAAAAUGGGGCUUUUGCCCAUUCCCAAGAUUAUAUUCAUGGAGGAGGGAGAAUAAAAUAAUACUUCUAUUUAAGAGUGCCUAUGUGAAAGAACAAAUGUGAUCAUGAUUCAUGUUCUCUUUAUUUUUUGGCUUUUGAUUAACUCCUUGAUAGGAAGAAAUUGAAGUUUGUGUUUCCUUUCCUUUCCUUGACUGGUAAAUAUCCACUUGAUUUACUGAAGAGAUUAAUCAGGGUGCUCUUCUUGGAUAAGAUAAGAAGCAAGCUAUAGUCUAUAGAGAAAUAUUUUACUAUCUGUUUUCUUAAGAUAAGCCUAAAGCCUUCACAGACCUGACUUAAUGUUUAGUAUAUUUUUUUCCAAAGUUUAUUUUCAAUUGCACCCUUUUCCACUGAUGGAAGAAGUUUUGUCUUAUAAAAGGAGGGAAGGAUUGGGACUGAACUAUACAGAUCCAAGAUGGUUUAAUGUGAAGGGCAGAUUUUCUCUAAUAUGCUGAAGAGAAAAGAGAAGAACCUUUCACUUGGCUAAACCUGUGUUGCUGUGCUCAUUUAGAUAACAAAGCUUUUAGUUGAGUGGUUUCUUCUCCUAGGCCAGGAUUGUAAAACAGAUGUUUAUCUUAUCUAGUCCCAAGUAAUAGUAUUUCUGUAAAAGAUCAAGCGAUGAGUAGAAUUAAGUUGCUAUGGAAAGAGUAGGUGGUGGAAGGGACGGCCUGUAGGGAAAUAACUGUAUUUAAGAUAGCAAUCCUGGAAAACAGGAUGUUUUUUUUGCUCAUGGUUUGAUUUAGUUUAGUUUUAUUUAUUUGUUUAUUUUCUAUCCUGCCCUGUACCCAAAGGUCUCAGGGCGGAUCACAAUAAAGUCACUGUAAAAACAGAUAAAAUAGAUUAG
Molecule: long non-coding RNA, 1027 nt
Filed under: Salvator merianae (Argentine black and white tegu)
Lineage: Eukaryota; Metazoa; Chordata; Lepidosauria; Squamata; Teiidae
Description: lncRNA (ENSSMRG00000003950.1)
Source: RNAcentral